This 460-nucleotide ribosomal RNA is filed under the name uncultured bacterium. RNAcentral's name for it is "partial 16S ribosomal RNA". It matches the Rfam family "Bacterial small subunit ribosomal RNA", at positions 338 to 795 of the family's 1533-position model. The record is from RNAcentral.
CCUACGGGAGGCAGCAGUGAGGAAUAUUGGUCAAUGGCCGUAAGGCUGAACCAGCCAAGUCGCGUGAAGGAAGAAGGAUCUAUGGUUUGUAAACUUCUUUUAUAGGGGAAUAAAGGUAUCCACGUGUGGAUAUUUGCAUGUACCCUAUGAAUAAGCAUCGGCUAACUCCGUGCCAGCAGCCGCGGUAAUACGGAGGAUGCGAGCGUUAUCCGGAUUUAUUGGGUUUAAAGGGUGCGUAGGUUGUUUUUUAAGUCAGUGGUGAAAGUUUGUGGCUCAACCAUAAAAUUGCCGUUGAAACUGGAAGUCUUGAGUGUGUUUGAGGUAGGCGGAAUGCGUGGUGUAGCGGUGAAAUGCAUAGAUAUCACGCAGAACUCCGAUUGCGAAGGCAGCUUACUAAGCCGUAACUGACACUGAAGCACGAAAGCGUGGGGAUCAAACAGGAUUAGAUACCCCAGUAGUC